Molecule: small RNA, 29 nt
Filed under: Bombyx mori (domestic silkworm)
Lineage: Eukaryota; Metazoa; Arthropoda; Insecta; Lepidoptera; Bombycidae
Description: ovarian small RNA-3922
Source: RNAcentral
UGUUUGCCUAGUCGCUCUAUUAGUCGCCC